UUAACUGAGCAGGCUUAAAGUGAUCCUUGUCUGUCUGGUAUCUUUAAGUCAAAACAAAAACAGACUAUGUGUGUAGACGUUCUUUGAGUCAUAACUUUGGACGCGGGUUCGACUCCCGCCACCUCCACAA
This 130-nucleotide transfer-messenger RNA is filed under the name Clostridium sp. RNAcentral's name for it is "partial transfer-messenger RNA". It matches the Rfam family "transfer-messenger RNA", at positions 236 to 374 of the family's 374-position model. Rfam says of the family: Bacterial tmRNA, also known as 10Sa RNA or SsrA, is named for its dual tRNA and mRNA-like properties. Its role is to liberate the mRNA from a stalled ribosome. Lineage: Bacteria; Bacillati; Bacillota; Clostridia; Eubacteriales; Clostridiaceae. The record is from RNAcentral.